Long non-coding RNA from Alligator mississippiensis (American alligator), 4614 nucleotides. RefSeq lists it as uncharacterized. Lineage: Eukaryota; Metazoa; Chordata; Crocodylia; Alligatoridae. The record is from RefSeq and is a predicted model, not a curated record. The transcript is spliced from 2 exons.
UCCAUUGAAGGAGGAAGGCACCUGCCCACAGAAGUGGGGGGAGACCUGGACUUGCACCCCUGCCCUGGCUGCUGUGGUGGGCUACAUCACACUCGUGGGCUGCCCUCUCCUCUCCUCUCCUCUCCUCACCUCCCUGCCUGGGCAGGGCCCCUCUUCUCUGCUGCUCCCUAAAACCUGCAGCAACAACCAGCGCAGCCCAUGUGCACCCCGGGCCCUGAGCCUGGCUGGGGGCUACAGGAGGGGCUCCCAGGGCAGGCGGCUGCCCCGCGCUCACCCGCUCCACUGUGUCCCGGGGUAGACAGUGAUGUACCGGGGCAUGGCCACCCUCUGCACAUUCACCGCCCCCGAAACAGCUGCCGGGUGCAAGGGCCCCUAGCUGAAGUCCAGCCCAACCAAGAGUUUGCCGUCUCCGGACUCCGCACCCUCCUGCCUCGGGGCCUCCCCAAGGGGCAGGGGUUUCGGUUGAAGCGCAGGGAGGGCGGCACGGAGCCGGCUUCGUCCCGGGUCGGCAUCUCCGCGCUCCCAGCCCCGCUCCAGCCCCAGGCGGCAGCGCGGAGCCGGCUUGGGUGCCCGCCCGCGUGUUCCCGCCGCAAUGCGCCCACGCGGCCACAGGAGGGCAGCCCCGAGCAGCCGGUUUGUCUCCCCUCCGCGGCGCCGCUCCAAGUGGCUGCAGUGCUGGGAGCGCACCACAGGAGGGCAGCACUGAGCCGGGUUCCCUCCAUGCUGGGUGCGGAUGCCCCGUGACACGUGUGAUACCCGCACUAACGACACACACUCGUGUGCGGAGCUGUGCAAGGGUGAGAGAUGAACACCUACAUCACUAUCGCCAUGGACAGAGACAGAGAGAUCAUUGUGUUAAUGAUGGUGUUUAUUACACACCCACACACCCACACACCCACACACACAAAUGCAUAUCAGUAUCCACACACAGCCGUACUGGAUACAUCUCUGUACCAUGUAAGAUUUCCAAAGUACGCACGCACUGAAUAACAACGUCCCUUCAGCUCCCUGUUCUCAGUUUUAAAGUAUUUUUGUGUAUCUGACAUGCUACAUUAAUCAGAAGUCAAAUCAAACACAUUUUUGUUUCAAUGGUUAAAAAAAUAUUCAUUCCCUCCUUCCAUCCAAAUGCCCUGGAAGUGCACUACGUGUUUUCCCCAAUAUUUAAAAUAAGAAAUACAUUUGAAAAGGUAUUUUUUUUUAGAAAUAAAAAUAUAUUAAAACCAAUUAUAUAAUAGUGCUGAGAAUACGAGUUUGGCUCCCCCCAAACUGAGAAGCCCCUCAGGGAUGACAUGGGUAGAUCUGGCUGAAAGCCUGCGGACAUUACAUUAAGCAGGCAAGGGGGGCAGGACCACACCCGGGCUUACAGGACUCACAAAAACCUGGAGACAACUGGGGAUCCACACAGUCCUUCUCCUUGCAACAAUGCAAUGCAGCUUUCCCAUCGCAGGGACCCAGCCCUUAGAGAAAAAGCCCGCAACCUAUUAGAAAUAGCAAGACUUGUACUAAAGGCAGCCAGAGAAGAUCUGAAACACCUGAACUAAAAAAAACCCACCAAGAAACUCAUAAAUCUCCAGAGCAUUUUAUUUUUAUUGGGACCAUUUUUUCUUUUGAGACGAGGGACAGCUGAACUUCAACAGAUUAUACCAAAGCACCACAACUUCACUGGGCCUUUUUUUUCAGUUCCUCAAAGAAAUCAGGACUGAUGUCCUGUAGUGCAUUAACCAUUGGAAACUAGGAACCAUGUGUUGCACACUCCUUUACCACUGGUCCAUCAGAAGGGGAAAUAUUUGCAUUGCACAAGUAAGAACACAGAUUGGAUCGGCACACUGAAUGAAAAAGUUCAUCCUUCAGCCAGCUCGCAACAGGAAAGGCCCGCGGGCAAAUCUUCUCAGCGUAGAAAAGCACCAGCCAUGAGGUGAAGUUUCUUAGACUGUUUAUUAUUAGACUGUGCGCAUCUUAGGCCCGCUUGCUCCUACCGUUUUCACACUGAGCACACCAACUCCCUUUAGGAUCCUUUGCACACAGGAUGAGUCCUUCAUCCUCACAGGUCAUGGAGCUGGAGAUUAAAUGCUUUCAAACACCCACGGAGCCUUAACUACCAGACACAAACAAACUGCACCACAAACAGCCUGAAAUCGGCCCCGCAACCUGCAGCCUAAGCAAGCUACAGCCACGCCACAAACAGAAACGAGCACAAACCUGCACUUCUACGCUGACACUGAGAACCGCUCAACAACCCAACCAAGGAAAUCCUACACACUGCCUUCAACUGCAUCUGUUCUGAUCCACUGCUUAACUAACCAAGCCAGACAACCUGCAAAACCCUUCACUGCUGCAUAUCAAUACGCACAACUAGCACAAAGCCUCAACCUCCCUGCACAAAAUUGGGGUCAACCCAAGACUGAGUGCACGGUGCAGCUUGAAGCGUGCGGCUGCUUGCCCCUAGCACUUACCCGUGUAUGACAACAGCAGGACCUAAGACACAAAUCCUGUGUGCGCCUGCCCCAGGGCUCCCACCUUCCACAAGGCGCUCAUCACAAGGUCGACAACUUGGGGAUGCAACUUGCAGAGGACAGACACCGUGUCCAAACUCCCUUACCUUUCCAUCCCUCUGGGCAGGCAGGGGUUUCUUCCCUCCAUAGUGGCCAAUGCCUGCCCAUCUGCCAUCCUGUGUGCUUCUCCUUCUGAGGGUUAAAAAACAGACAGACACUGCAUUUAAGUCACCACGUCAGAGGACCAGACUACAGACCCCAACUUCUCAGCCCUCUUUUACUCUCACCUGGACCCACGAUCACUCUGCCCUCAGAAAGCAGUGAGGGCAGACAUCUGCAGGCUCGACUGCUGCCGACAUCCAGGCCAGCCAAAAGCUGAGUGCGACGGGCUAGGACUCUGGACAGAACUGCUAGGGCGGCACCAUGAACGGUGACCACAAACACUGGAAACCCUGCUGACAGGGUGGUGGUCCCUGCACACAGCUGGCAGCUGGGGCACAAAGCCCAGACACAACCUGCAAAGUCCUGAAUGCCAGCUGACAGGUGCCCCAGGCGGUCUUGAUCAGGGGUCAAAGCUGCCCCGUGGACAGAAGGGCCAGACAGGACAGAAGGCCCAUAAUUUCAGUCUCCUGCCACGGAAGCCACAGAGCUCAAAGGGCUAAAGGAGGUCUCGUCCCCCAAGGUCAGAGGGGUGGGGGUGCAGCCCUGUUUACAGGGUGCAGGGGGCAUCUCAUAGUGCCAGGAGCAGCAGAACAGAGGAGCAGAGACCCCGACCUGAGUUACAGGAAGGUCACUAAGGCUCGGGGUCCCAACGCACUCAGUGUCCCCCAGAAGCCUGCAACCUCCCAUGUAGUCUGUGGGUAUGGUCUCUGGCCAACCUCAACAAGUGGAACGAGACCCAACCCAACCCGAAUCAAGGGGCCCUGGACCCUGCUUACAGGCUACAGGCCGGGGGCGGGGGCGCAGAAGAACGGCUGGCCUAGGGCAGGGCACUCGUCUCCAGGGCCUCGGGCAGGGAAUACAAUGCCUGCCCCGGGAAGGAGGGCAGGAACCCCGCGUGCGAGGGACCGAGCGGCCGAAAAGACAUGCCAGCGUCCCAAAAAGAGGGGGUCUCCCCGCCGCAAUGCCCGGCGCGGCCACAGGAGGGCGGCUCUGAGCAGGGCUUUGUCUUCAACUUCACCUGCUGCGGCAAUGCCGCGACGCGGCCACAGGAGGGCAGCACCGAGCAGCCGGUUCGCCUCCCCUUCCGUGGCGCCACUCGUCGUGGCCGCAGUGCUGGGAGCGCACCACACGAGGGCAGCACUGAGCCGGAGUUCGUGCGGGGAGUGGCGGCGCAGUGCGCAAGUGGAGCCGGCGGGGACUUGCCGCGGGGAGGAGCGGCCCCGGCCCCGGCCCCGGCCCCGCACACGGGCGCGUCCUUCCCUCGCGGCGGCGGCGGCGGCAACAGGAGCGGCCGGGUUGUAUCUCUGUGUCUGUAUGUAGAACCUCAUUUGGAGACAACAACAAAAGUCUAAAUUUGAGGCCCUCCGUGGCUGAGAGGCCCUGGCCAAAUGGUCCUCCUGGCCCCCCAUGUGAUAGGCCCUGGUGGUGAUGUUGGGUGCCUAAGCGCGGGACGUGGAAGAGCCCCGAUUUUCAGAAAAUGUGGAAAACCCUGCACCCGUGAGACGACUGUCACAGCUCUUCAUGGUGCUUAAUGGCAGGCACUCAAACCCACCAGCCCGCGGGGAAAGCUCUGCCCCUGCCCCCGGUGCGAAGAUGAAGAUGAAGAUGUGAACUUCCCGGUGAGAGCACAAGCGACGGGCAGGGGAGCGCAGGGAGCAGAGCGGCGUGUGACCCACAGCUCCUCGGGGCUGCAGGGAACGGGGACGCAGCAAGAGCACCUGUCCCUGCCGGGGCUGCAGCCAGCACUGGGCCGAGCCCCUUGGAGCUGUGUGCGCGGGCACGAGGACGAGAGGCGUCCGCGAUGGGGCUUGGGCUCAAGAAGGCUCAACAGCUAACCUGAUGUGAACCAGCCAAAGGCAAGAGGGGACAUGUAUCUUAUAUGUUACAUUAAUCAGAAGGCUCUACUUAAUCAAAUGCAUUUUUGUUUCUAUGGUUAAAAAAUAUUCAUUUCCUCCUUCCA